AGGUAGCCUAGUGGUUAGAGCAGGUAGCCUAGUGGUUAGAGCAGGUAGCCUAGUGGGUAGAGCAGGUAGCCUAGUGGUUAGAGCAGGUAGCCUAGUGGUUAGAGCAGGUAGCCUAGUGGGUAGAGCAGGUAGCCUAGUGGGUAGAGCAGGUAGCCUAGUGGUUAGAGCAGGUAGCCUAGUGGGUAGAGCAGGUAGCCUAGUGGUUAGAGCAGGUAGCCUAGUGGUUAGAGCAGGUAGCCUAGUGGUUAGAGCAGGUAGCCUAGUGGUUAGAGCAGGUAGCCUAGUGGGUAGAGCAGGUAGCCUAGUGGGUAGAGCAGGUAGCCUAGUGGGUAGAGCAGGUAGCCUAGUGGGUAGAGCAGGUAGCCUAGUGGUUAGAGCAGGUAGCCUAGUGGUUAGAGCAGGUAGCCUAGUGGUUAGAGCC
Oncorhynchus tshawytscha (Chinook salmon) is the source of this 421-nucleotide long non-coding RNA. The record is from Ensembl. NCBI's taxonomy places the organism in Eukaryota, Metazoa, Chordata, Actinopteri, Salmoniformes, Salmonidae.